AAUAAGAGAGUAACUCAAAAACUGAAUAGAAUUCAAUCGAAGUUAUGGAAUCAUGUGUGAAUCAUGAACGGUACGGCCACUGUAAUGCGGAGUGAACCUUAUAUAUGUCACUGGGAAACUGGGAAGACGAGGGGAGCGUUGAAGCAAAGUCAGGAUACUUAUUUCGAUGGUGUUGUCUCC
RNAcentral lists this non-coding RNA (180 nucleotides) under Fusibacter sp. Lineage: Bacteria; Bacillati; Bacillota; Clostridia; Eubacteriales; Fusibacteraceae. The record is from RNAcentral.